CUUCUCCUCGCGCGAUUCUUCACCACGAAACCUAGCCACUCCUCCCUCUCCGAAUCGCCGAACGCGCCUCCCUCUCCGAAUCACCGAAGCGCUCCUCUCGCCGCAAAUGCGCCUCUCUCUUGUUGAAGCUACGGGACAAGACGUGCGACUCUCUCUCGCAGCGAGCCCUUUUCUACCGUGAGCUCUCCCUCGUCGUGAGCUCUCCAAAUCGCCCAUCACCCAUCCCUCUCGCGCCGAAGCUAGGAUCUACGACUCUCUCUCUAGCCAAAGCUCCCCUCUCGCCGCAAGCACGCCUCUCUCGCUCUGAGCUCUCCUGCGGCGAGCUCUCUCUCGCUAGAUCUAGGGUUUCUCACUCUGCAACCUCUCUUCGCGGACAAACUCCUUCACUGAAUUACUUCAACCAUGGAAGGAAGCUCCUCUGGAGGGAGGGAGUCAACUUUAACUUUGAUGAAUAAUCGCGAGGAGAGGUUUGACGUGUUUCUGCAUUCGCGGCGUUAUCAACUUCUCACGUGGAUAGUCCACUGGGAUGCAGAUGGUGGGAAGCCACUGGAGCUCAAUAGGAUUCUUAGACCUGGAGGUUUCUUUCUUUGGUCUACAACACAUGUUUACUGCUAAUGAGAGGGACCAAAGCAUCUAGAAGUGUAGUGACAUUUGUCAAUUUCUUUAAAUUUCAUGAUUUCCUUUGUCAUCAGCAAGACUACGUGGCUUUCGGGAGCUAGACUAUCUUAAAUUUUUAUUUAGCACCCUUUUAAAUUUUUUUCUGGAUCCGCUAUUGACAUUGACUACUCG
Long non-coding RNA from Zingiber officinale, 789 nucleotides. RefSeq lists it as uncharacterized. The record is from RefSeq and is a predicted model, not a curated record. NCBI's taxonomy places the organism in Eukaryota, Viridiplantae, Streptophyta, Magnoliopsida, Zingiberales, Zingiberaceae. The transcript has 4 exons.